Molecule: transfer RNA, 70 nt
Filed under: Macropinna microstoma (barreleye)
Lineage: Eukaryota; Metazoa; Chordata; Actinopteri; Argentiniformes; Opisthoproctidae
Description: tRNA-Arg
Rfam family: tRNA
About the family: Transfer RNA (tRNA) molecules are approximately 80 nucleotides in length. Their secondary structure includes four short double-helical elements and three loops (D, anti-codon, and T loops).
Source: RNAcentral
AAGCAAUUAGUCCAAAAUAAGACCCUUGAUUUCGACUCAAAAGACCAUGGUUAAAACCCACGAUUGUUUU